Long non-coding RNA from Clarias gariepinus (North African catfish), 474 nucleotides. RefSeq lists it as uncharacterized. The transcript has 4 exons. Lineage: Eukaryota; Metazoa; Chordata; Actinopteri; Siluriformes; Clariidae. The record is from RefSeq and is a predicted model, not a curated record.
CCGAAAGUGUUUUUCCUAAAGUCUCCAGCAGCGUUUUUAUCCAGCGUUCCUGGAAUGUAACCUUUAUCGGCAGAAACGGUGAUAUUAACGUCACACAACAAUAAUUUCGACUGAAGGAGUGUAAUUCAUCACAGCAGAGGAGAUCAGACUCUUCAGGACUCGGCUGUGUGUUUGUGCCAUCGUUACUAAUUUUCAAAGAUGGAUAAUCCUGACUGGGACAAAGAUAUUUCCAGGCUCUUAGAAGAACGUGAAUUCUAUGGAAAAAGACGAGGAUCCCCAUCACCCAGCGGUGUCUCCAUAAAGAGUGCGAGGUCUUUGGAGCCUCCUACGAAUUUUAGUGGUGGGGUUUCAUCACCUCUACACAGUGAAUUCUAUGGAAACAGACCAGGAUCCCCAUCACCCAGCAGUGUCUCCAUGAAGAGUGCGAGGUCUAUGGAGCCUCCUGAGAAUUUUAGUGGUGGAGUUUCAUCACCU